GAAGAGAAGAACUUUAUAUCCCACAGUGAUCCCCUAGCACCCUUCUUCUGACCUCCACACCCAGGAGCUCCUUUGUUCCUCAGGGCUGCUGGCUCAUCUGCUUCGAAAAAGGGGCACACACUGCCAGCAUUCAGGAAGCUGCAGCCUCUCCCACCAGUGCCUGCAGCACCACAGACACUUCCACUGCUUGCCAGCUGCAAAGAGAACAUGCUGGGAAUCUCUGGCAGGAGAGCACUUUGGGAAGCUGACACUGAUUAGUCACCCUGAGUGUGUUGGGGGACACCUGAGGGAAAAGAGUGGCUCCAGGACCUUCUGCAGACAUUACUGCCACAGGAACUGAAAGAUCCUACCAGCUGUGCAAUGGAGAGCCAACAGAGAUGUGCAGCUACAGCACUGCAUGGGGACAGUGUUUUGUUCAGCUAGAUACAGGCCAGCCAUGGCCACACAAUUCUGCAUCAAACAAGUCCUGUCCUUCAGCAGAAAUUAGUUCAGGGGAGCAUUAUCCAAUAUGAUUAUGCUGCACCUAGCUCCAAAUAUAGCUUCGGAAUUCCUCAUCCUCGCUCUAGAAUGAGCUGCUGAUGUGCCCUAAUUUUAUUUCUUGAACUCAAGACUCUUCAAGAAUUACAGGUUUCCAAUCCUAUCCCUUCUCAAAAUCUAGUUUUUUUACUUUUUUAAAAUUCAAAACUUGAGUACCUACUUUCAGAAGGUCCAAAGUAAAGAAGUUGAAGGGAAAUGAAGCAUCUCUGUGUCUCCCAAGGGAGAUAUUUCAAAAACAAACAUCAGCUUUUAUUAAGGCCUCCUUUAAGAAACUAUGUGUUCAGUAGGCAUCCAGUGGAAUUGUCUCACUUGUAUCACAGAAGAGUUGGGAACAGCACUUCAGAAUCUGCAUUCCUCUGGGCAAUCAAAAUUGAGGUAAAGUCAUGCUAUAAUUCACAAUUCUUAGAUCCAGUUUACCCUUGUAACCUUCAGCUACCCCACACAGAGCACAAUUUUCUUGGCUGAUGAGCAGAAAGGAAAAGUUUACCUGAAAUAAAUACACAUAAUUAAAAAAGGAACGUCUUAAUGGGUUUUUUUAAGAUUUUCAUAGGGAAUUAUUUCACUAGAGCA
Long non-coding RNA from Serinus canaria (Common canary), 1107 nucleotides. RefSeq lists it as uncharacterized. The transcript has 3 exons. NCBI's taxonomy places the organism in Eukaryota, Metazoa, Chordata, Aves, Passeriformes, Fringillidae. The record is from RefSeq and is a predicted model, not a curated record.